CCUACGGGAGGCAGCAGCGAGGAAUAUUGGUCAAUGGGCUUACGCCUGAACCAGCCAAGUCGCGUGAGGGAAGACUGCCCUCUGGGUUGUACACCUCUUCUGUAAGGGAGCAAUUGGCGCUACGUGUAUCGUUAUCGACAGUACCUGAAGAAAAAGCAUCGGCUAAGUCCGUGCCAGCAGCCGCCGUAAUACUGAGGAUGCCAGCGUUCUCCGGAUUUAUGGGGGUUAAAGGGUGCGUAGGCGGAAUGCCAAGUCAGCGGCAAAAUCGCGGGGCUAAACCUUGCUCCGCCGUUGAAACUGGCGUUCUUGAGUGGGCGAGAAGUAGGCGGAAUGCGUGGUGUAGCGGUGAAAUGCAUAGAUAUCACGCAGAACUCCGAUUGCGAAGGCAGCAUACCGGCGCCCAACUGACGCUGAAGCACGAAAGCGUGGGUAUCGAACAGGAUUAGAUACCCGAGUAGUC
Molecule: ribosomal RNA, 460 nt
Filed under: uncultured bacterium
Lineage: Bacteria
Description: partial 16S ribosomal RNA
Rfam family: Bacterial small subunit ribosomal RNA
Source: RNAcentral